This is a long non-coding RNA of Leptinotarsa decemlineata (Colorado potato beetle), 150 nucleotides long. NCBI's taxonomy places the organism in Eukaryota, Metazoa, Arthropoda, Insecta, Coleoptera, Chrysomelidae. The record is from RefSeq and is a predicted model, not a curated record.
UCAUGUUUUUCAUUUAACUUUUCCUAAAGAUUGGAAAUUAAAUAAUAUUUUACAAUUAUUUAGUCCAUUUGGCAAUGUUCAUGUAUCUUGGAUCGAUGACACUUCUGCCUAUGUUGGGUUGGCCAAGCGAGAUCAAGCUGCAUUAGCAUU